Molecule: ribosomal RNA, 496 nt
Filed under: uncultured bacterium
Lineage: Bacteria
Description: partial 16S ribosomal RNA
Rfam family: Bacterial small subunit ribosomal RNA
Source: RNAcentral
AUGAACGCUGGCGGCGUGCCUAAUCCAUGCCCGUCGAGCGAACAGACGAGGAGCUUGCUCCUUUGACGUUAGCGGCGGACGGGUGAGUAACACGUAGGUAACCUACCUAUAAGACUGGGAUAACUUCGGGAAACCGGAGCUAAUACCGGAUAAUAUUUCGAACCGCAUGGUUCGAUAGUGAAAGAUGGCUUUGCUAUCACUUAUAGAUGGACCUGCGCCGUAUUAGCUAGUUGGUAAGGUAACGGCUUACCAAGGCAACGAUACGUAGCCGACCUGAGAGGGUGAUCGGCCACACUGGAACUGAGACACGGUCCAGACUCCUACGGGAGGCAGCAGUAGGGAAUCUUCCGCAAUGGGCGAAAGCCUGACGGAGCAACGCCGCGUGAGUGAUGAAGGUCUUCGGAUCGUAAAACUCUGUUAUUAGGGAAGAACAAACGAGUAAGUAACUGUGCACGUCUUGACGGUACCUAAUCAGAAAGCCACGGCUAACUACGUG